CCCGCGGGCGCGCCGCUGAGGGGACGAGUGUCGCCGAGCAGCCGGGGCCUUGGCCGGUGGCGGGGUCCGGGAAGGUCCCCGUCGCCUCCGUGCUCCUCGUUCAGGCCGUAAGGGGGCAACCGGGGAGAAGGUCCCGCCAAUGAGGGGUUUUGCGGGCGGGCCGGCGGAGUAAGCGGCGCCUCCUGUUCCUCCAGCGGGCCACCCGCCCGCUCCCCCACCGCCGCCGGCUCCGGCUCGGCGCAAAGGAUUGAUGUUUAUUCACCAGGCGGUAAAACCGCUCCAGCCGCCCCGGCUUAUUUAUCGCCGCAGUGCAGUGUGACUUGUGAGGAGUUCCCUUCCCUGAAGCCUGGACCUGGGUGGUGGUUUUUCUUUUGUGGCCUAGCAAGAAACGAUUUCCUUUCCUGAGCUGUUGGCAUCUUCUUGCCUGGAUUUAGUCAUAGAGGAAUGCAGCUGAUAAGUCCUUAACCACUCUGUGCUCCUAUAGGCAGCACCAGAAGCUGGCUUCAUCUUCUUCACUUUGGCACUUUGGGGGUGGUCCUCUCUCUGUUACCUGCUCUGGGUACCUUUUUAGUGGCACCGUAGACCAAAGGAGAUGGAAGAAAAGGAGCGAUGUGAUAAAUUCCAUCUGGUACCUUGA
This is a long non-coding RNA of Strigops habroptila (Kakapo), 637 nucleotides long. RefSeq lists it as uncharacterized. The transcript is spliced from 2 exons. NCBI's taxonomy places the organism in Eukaryota, Metazoa, Chordata, Aves, Psittaciformes, Psittacidae. The record is from RefSeq and is a predicted model, not a curated record.